This 245-nucleotide ribosomal RNA is filed under the name uncultured bacterium. Its description in RNAcentral is "partial 16S ribosomal RNA". It matches the Rfam family "Bacterial small subunit ribosomal RNA", at positions 524 to 768 of the family's 1533-position model. The record is from RNAcentral.
UACGUAGGGAGCGAGCGUUAUCCGGAAUCACUGGGCGUAAAGGGCUCGCAGGCGGCCCGAUAAGUUGCGUGUUAAAGCCCCGGGCUCAACCCGGGACAUGCGCGCAAUACUGUCGGGCUAGAGAGCGGGAGAGGGAAAUGGAAUUCCCGGUGUAGCGGUGAAAUGCAUAGAUAUCGGGAAGAACACCAGUGGCGAAGGCGAUUUCCUAGACCGUUUCUGACGCUGAGGAGCGAAAGCCAGGGGAG